UACGGAGUGUGCAAGCGUUACUCGGAAUCACUGGGCAUAAAGGGCGUGUAGGCGGGCUUUCAAGUCGGUUGUGAAAUCCCUCAGCUCAACUGAGGAACUGCAUCCGAUACUGUUUGUCUUGAGGACGAGAGGGGAGAGUGGAAUUCCUGGUGGAGCGGUGAAAUGCGCAGAGAUCAGGAGGAACACCCGUAGCGAAGGCGGCACUCUGGGCCGAUACUGACACUGAGGAGCGAAAGCGUGGGGAGCGAACAGG
This 253-nucleotide ribosomal RNA is filed under the name uncultured bacterium. RNAcentral describes it as "partial 16S ribosomal RNA". It matches the Rfam family "Bacterial small subunit ribosomal RNA", at positions 524 to 776 of the family's 1533-position model. The record is from RNAcentral.